This is an RNA transcript of Cucumis sativus (cucumber), 1085 nucleotides long. It is a transcript of the gene named small nuclear ribonucleoprotein E, with no coding region annotated. The transcript is spliced from 8 exons. The record is from RefSeq and is a predicted model, not a curated record. Lineage: Eukaryota; Viridiplantae; Streptophyta; Magnoliopsida; Cucurbitales; Cucurbitaceae.
AAAUACUUUAGAGGGAUAUAAAAAUAUGCUAGGGGUCUCUACAAUUUAAAUAAAUGUGGGUUUAGGGUUUCGUUUCUCAUAGCCCGAAGAUUCUCUUACAAUUUCGAAUUUCGGUAGCCAUGGCGAGCACCAAAGUGCAGAGGAUUAUGACCCAGCCCAUUAACUUGAUAUUCAGGUUUCUUCAAAGUAAAGCUCGUAUUCAGAUUUGGCUAUUUGAGCAAAAGGACCUGAGGAUUGAAGGCCGAAUCAUUGGAUUUGAUGAGUACAUGAAUUUAGUGCUUGAUGAUGCUGAGGAAGUUAAUGUCAAGAAAAAGAGUAAAAAGGCACUUGGGAGGAUUCUUCUUAAGGGAGACAAUAUUACACUAAUGAUGAACUCGGGAAAAUGAUGCAGCAGAACACAUUAUUGAGAUAAAGUUUUCACUUUCGUUGCAACUCUUCUGGGUAUAUAUCCAUAGACUUAAUAUUGGGCCAAGCUCUCCAGCAGUAGUAUGAGUAUCCAAGUUCAAGCUAUUAUCCAGGAAGGAUAAAAAAGCACUUAACAAGAGGCCCAUAGGCAGUAUUGGGUGUGGGGCAAUCAUGAAGUUGCAAAGGGGAAGGUGAAGCAGAUAAAAGGCAGACAUCCAUUAGUAGACUUCUGGUGAUAAAAGGUAAUCUGAGCACCAGGGUGUGGGAAGAAAGAUUGGACUACGAACGAAGCCAAGAGAAGGUGGUGGUGGCCGGUGGGACACACAUGGGGUCAGGGAAUCACGCCCUUCUAGCUCGUUUAACCAUUGUCUUCUGCUUGCAACUGGCAAUAUGAGAAAAGGCAUGUCUACCCUUGAGUUGGAAAACGAGUGCGCCAUCGCAUUUGUUCUUCUUUUGCAUUUAUUGGUUACUGACUCAUCUUCCACACUCAUCAUUUCUCUUCCUCUCUCCUACUUGGUGCAAAUACGCCACUCCAUUCCAUUUGGUGCUUUCUUUGACACAUUCCAUAACCCCUGAUUUCCUUCUCAUGAUUGGAGAAAUGCAUGAUUGUUUCACAGUGCUUGACACAACAUGAAAACAUCACUAUUCUUUUAUUUUACUUUCUUAUCGGUUGUGUUGAA